GACGAACGCUGGCGGCGUGCUUAACACAUGCAAGUCGAACGGAAAGGCCCUGCUUUUGUGGGGUGCUCGAGUGGCGAACGGGUGAGUAACACGUGAGUAACCUGCCCUUGACUUUGGGAUAACUUCUGGAAACUGGGGCUAAUACCGGAUAGGAGCUCCUGCUGCAUGGUGGGGGUUGGAAAGUUUCGGCGGGUGGGGAUGGACUCGCGGCUUAUCAGCUUGUUGGUGGGGUAGUGGCUUACCAAGGCUUUGACGGGUAGCCGGCCUGAGAGGGUGACCGGCCACAUUGGGACUGAGAUACGGCCCAGACUCCUACGGGAGGCAGCAGUGGGGAAUAUUGCACAAUGGGCGGAAGCCUGAUGCAGCAACGCCGCGUGCGGGAUGACGGCCUUCGGGUUGUAAACCGCUUUCGCCUGUGACGAAGCGUGAGUGACGGUAAUGGGUAAAGAAGCACCGGCUAACUACGUG
This 468-nucleotide ribosomal RNA is filed under the name uncultured bacterium. RNAcentral's name for it is "partial 16S ribosomal RNA". It matches the Rfam family "Bacterial small subunit ribosomal RNA", at positions 28 to 507 of the family's 1533-position model. The record is from RNAcentral.